RNAcentral lists this ribosomal RNA (253 nucleotides) under uncultured bacterium. Its description in RNAcentral is "partial 16S ribosomal RNA". It matches the Rfam family "Bacterial small subunit ribosomal RNA", at positions 524 to 776 of the family's 1533-position model. The record is from RNAcentral.
UACGUAGGGUGCGAGCGUUGUCCGAAAUUAUUGGGCGUAAAGGGCUCGUAGGCGGUCCAUCGCGUCGGGAGUGAAAAGCUGGGGCUUAACCCCAGUCCUGCUUUCGAUACGGGUGGACUAGAGGUAGGCAGGGGAGAAUGGAAUUCCUGGUGUAGCGGUGAAAUGCGCAGAUAUCAGGAGGAACACCGGUGGCGAAGGCGGUUCUCUGGGCCUUACCUGACGCUGAGAAGCGAAAGCAUGGGGAGCGAACAGG